AACGAACGCUGGCGGCAUGCCUAACACAUGCAAGUCGAACGAUACCUUCGGGUCUAGUCGCGCGCGGGUGCGUAACGCGUGGAAACCUGCCCUUAGGUUCGGAAUAACUCCCCGUAAGGGGUGCUAAUACCGGCUAAUGUCUUCGGACCAAAGAUUUAUCGCCUUUGGAUGGGGCCGCGUUGGAUUAGCUAGUAGGUAGGGUAAAAGCCUACCAAGGCGACGAUCCAUAGCUGGUCUGAGAGGAUGAUCAGCCACACUGGGACUGAGACACGGCCCAGACUCGUACGGGAGGUAGCAGAGGGGAAUAUUGGAGCAUGGGCGAGAGGCUGAUCCAGCGAGGGCGCGAGAGUGAUGAAGGGGUUAGGGUUGUAAAGCUGUUUUGACCGGGAUGAUAGUGACGGUACCGGGAGAAGAAGCACCGGCUAACUACGUG
Molecule: ribosomal RNA, 433 nt
Filed under: uncultured bacterium
Lineage: Bacteria
Description: partial 16S ribosomal RNA
Rfam family: Bacterial small subunit ribosomal RNA
Source: RNAcentral